GUCUGUUCGACAAAAACAUCGCUUUUUGUAUUGUAUAAAAAGUAAGACCUGCCCACUGUAAAUAAAGGUCCGCGGUAUAUUGACCGUGCAAAGGUAGCAUAAUCAUUAGUCUUUUAAUUGAGGGCUGGAAUGAAUGGUUAGAUAAAAUAAUAGCUGUCUCUUAUAGAUUAAAAAAAAAUUAAAAUUUUAGUUAAAAAGCUAAAAUAAUUGUAAAAGACGAGAAGACCCUAUAGAUCUUUAUAAAUUUUAUUUGAUUAUAAUAGAUGAAAUUAAUAGUUUAAAAAGAUUUUCAUUCCCACGUAUAAAUAAUAUAAGUUUUUGAUUAUUACCGCCUUCUCUUACACUACUUUUAGCCAGCAGUAUAGUAGA
This 369-nucleotide ribosomal RNA is filed under the name Choroterpes (Euthraulus) sp. EU2_OMAN_2. Its description in RNAcentral is "Euthraulus sp. EU2_OMAN_2 partial large subunit ribosomal RNA". The stretch from base 1 to 160 matches the Rfam family "Archaeal large subunit ribosomal RNA", at positions 1890 to 2099 of the family's 2987-position model. Lineage: Eukaryota; Metazoa; Arthropoda; Insecta; Ephemeroptera; Leptophlebiidae. The record is from RNAcentral.